GCCAUAUCACAUUAAAAUACCGGUUCUCGUACAAUCACCGAAGUUAAGCAACGUCGAAUCUGGUCAGUACUUAGAUGGAUGACCGCUUGAGUAUUGCAGGUGUUGUCAG
This is a non-coding RNA of Acanthosepion pharaonis, 109 nucleotides long. Lineage: Eukaryota; Metazoa; Mollusca; Cephalopoda; Sepiida; Sepiidae. The record is from the annotation of a GenBank genome assembly.